Long non-coding RNA from Sorex araneus (European shrew), 358 nucleotides. RefSeq lists it as uncharacterized. The transcript has 2 exons. NCBI's taxonomy places the organism in Eukaryota, Metazoa, Chordata, Mammalia, Eulipotyphla, Soricidae. The record is from RefSeq and is a predicted model, not a curated record.
CAGGGUGGAAAUCAGAACUGGUGUCUCGCGAGACUUCCCCUGACCCCAUUAAACGCUUUCUCCAGAGCAGUACCAGUGGGCCCUUGUCCAAUUUUUUAAAGCAUGAAGACUGGCGAGAGUCCUGGGCUGUCAGAUUCAGAAUUUUACUGCAGAGAACACCUUUUGGAGACAUCUGAUUGGAUCGCUAAAGGAUAAAGCACAAUGUUUUUGUGUGUCCGUGCAAAUCAUUUCUGACCAUUUCGUUACCCCCAGGUUAUAUACUUUUGUUUUACUUUAAGAAGAGCAAGCAUAUUGUUUAAAAAGCACACCCACUGGUUCUUUUUGGCAGGCGAGCAUAUAUUAAAUCUGAGUGUGUUAC